This 478-nucleotide ribosomal RNA is filed under the name uncultured bacterium. Its description in RNAcentral is "partial 16S ribosomal RNA". It matches the Rfam family "Bacterial small subunit ribosomal RNA", at positions 28 to 523 of the family's 1533-position model. The record is from RNAcentral.
GACGAACGCUGGCGGCGUGCUUAACACAUGCAAGUCGAACGGUAAGGCCCUUCGGGGUACACGAGUGGCGAACGGGUGAGUAACACGUGGGUGAUCUGCCCUGCACUUCGGGAUAAGCCUGGGAAACUGGGUCUAAUACCGGAUAGGACUCCGGACUGCAUGGUCUGGGGUGGAAAGCUUUUGCGGUGUGGGAUGGGCCCGCGGCCUAUCAGCUUGUUGGUGGGGUGAUGGCCUACCAAGGCGACGACGGGUAGCCGGCCUGAGAGGGUGACCGGCCACACUGGGACUGAGAUACGGCCCAGACUCCUACGGGAGGCAGCAGUGGGGAAUAUUGCACAAUGGGCGAAAGCCUGAUGCAGCGACGCCGCGUGAGGGUUGACGGCCUUCGGGUUGUAAACCUCUUUCAGCAUCGACGAAGCGAAAGUGACGGUAGGUGCAGAAGAAGGACCGGCCAACUACGUGCCAGCCGCCGCAGUAA